CCGCACGGUAAACGAUGGACACCCGCUGUCGGCGAUACACUGUCGGCGGCCAAGCGAAAGCGUUAAGUGUCCCACCUGGGGAGUACGCCGGCAACGGUGAAACUCAAAGGAAUUGACGGGGGCCCGCACAAGCGGAGGAACAUGUGGUUUAAUUCGAUGAUACGCGAGGAACCUUACCCGGGCUUGAAUUGCAACUGAAUUAUCUGGAAACAGGUAAGCCGCAAGGCAGUUGUGAAGGUGCUGCAUGGUUGU
RNAcentral lists this ribosomal RNA (252 nucleotides) under uncultured bacterium. RNAcentral's name for it is "partial 16S ribosomal RNA". It matches the Rfam family "Bacterial small subunit ribosomal RNA", at positions 795 to 1052 of the family's 1533-position model. The record is from RNAcentral.